Molecule: non-coding RNA, 317 nt
Organism: Pelobates cultripes (western spadefoot toad)
Lineage: Eukaryota; Metazoa; Chordata; Amphibia; Anura; Pelobatidae
Source: the annotation of a GenBank genome assembly
CUAAGCUGUAUGUGCACUGCCUGCCCGGGGCUGGCUCUCCCUCUCUCUCUCUCUCUCUGUGUGUACUAUGUAAUCUCAUGUAGUGUGUGCAGCAACCAGGGCACACAUUGCUCUGCCCAGGGUCCUGGUAUAUCCGGAGCAGAUCAUAUCCAGGGGUUAUUGUGUUAUAUAUGGAGAAGGUGUAUGGGGGUUGCUGGUACAUUGGGUGCAGGAGGGACCCUCCAUUGUCUGCCCCCAUUCUAGGAGCUGCUUCUGGUAUGGGCUGUGAUAUAUACCGCAUUGAUUAAACACAGACAGGGGCUCUAACAAUACACUGU